RNAcentral lists this long non-coding RNA (1195 nucleotides) under Salmo salar (Atlantic salmon). Its description in RNAcentral is "lncRNA (ENSSSAG00000117650.1)". Lineage: Eukaryota; Metazoa; Chordata; Actinopteri; Salmoniformes; Salmonidae. The record is from RNAcentral.
GACUGUUAAUGUAGCAGAUGGGGAUCUGUGAAACUCCCUCCUUAGACUGAAGUGUCCCCCCUUACGCAAUUGCAGAAGGCCUUUUUAAAUAGCACGAUGCGUUGGAAUACUUCAGCAGGGCAGUCACGUGUUUUCAAGGCAGAAGUCCUGAGUUUGAGUCUCCGUUUGAGCUGAAGCAGGGGGAGCGGUACUCUAUAAGCAGGCAGUGUGAUGUCCUUUACAAUGGUGCCACUGGACUCGGAUCUACAACUGCGCUCAGCUCAACCCCUGGAACUGCUGUGGACGCGGUGGGUUGGAUCUCUUCAGGAGGGCGGUCAGCCGUGUGUUUGCGAGGCAGAUGUCCUGAGUUCGAGCCUCGAUAUGAGCUGAAUCAGGGGGAAGCGUGACUCGAUAAUCAAGCAGCAUGUCGUCCUUUACAUGAACUUCCUGAACUUAUCCUUAUAGGCUUUAGCUAAGUGGGCUAACACAAUCUUGUGACAUGCAGGAGACCUGGUUCCAAUCCAGUCAGUUCAAAUAUUAAAUAGGGAGUGGAAAGGCUACGUAAUUUUUUUUGUGACACUCCCUUCCAACCUGUCCUGCGUGACCUGUGAUCAUCUUAGCGGGGAACAGAAGGAAUGUCCGCGUUCUAGAGAGUCGUAGCAUUCAGGAAUGGGGUAAACACAUCAAAUCUUAUAGCCAUAAUGGUGCAAACACUAGAGCCAAAUUAAUAGGAAGAAAAAAAUGUACAUGCUACAUUAGCUUCAGACACCACCAGAAGCUUAAUUUUGACUUUCCAGCUGGUAAAGUACCAGGAUGUUGUCUCUGGUUUUGAAUCUGAAUUUGGAGAACUGAAUUUGAAAACUGAAUCUGAACGCAACUGAGAAGUUGAAAAUAUAAAAGGUUGAUAAACUUUAAAUGCACACUGAAUAUAUAAAUAUUACAUUUAAAUAUUCAAUUAAAUGUAAAUUUUAUUUUUAAACUUAAUGCAAUAUUCAUUCAGUUCAGUUUCAAAUAAUGAAAUGCAAGUUCAAUUUAUGAUUUCAAUGAUUCAGAGAGCAAGAGAGAGAGGGAAAGAGAGAGCAAGAGAGAGCGAGAGAGUGAGAUAGAGAGAGAGAGGGAAAGAGAGAGAGAGAGAGCGAGAGAGGGAAAGAGAGAGAGAGAGAGUGAGAGAGAGGGAAAGAGGGAAAGAGAGAGAGAGAGCGAGAGAGAGAGUGAG